GCAGAAGCAGCUUCUUCUCUCUCAGGUAAGCUGGUGUUUUUUUCCCUAGGGUUUCAGAAUUAAACAUAUCCAAAUGGCUCCUAAAGCUGAUUUGACCAAGAAGUCUGACCCUAAGGCUCAAGCCGUUAAGGCUGCCAAGGCUGUCAAGUCAGGAUCAACCUUCAAGAAGAAGUCACAGAAGAUCAGGACAAAGGUUACAUUCCACCGUCCUAGGACUUUGAAGAAGGAUAGAAGCCCCAAGUAUCCUCGUGUUAGUGCACCUGGAAGGAACAAACUUGAUCAAUAUGCUAUUCUAAAGUAUCCUCUCACCACCGAGUCUGCAAUGAAGAAGAUUGAAGACAAUAACACCCUUGUUUUCAUUGUUGACAUCAAAGCUGAUAAGAAGAAGAUCAAGGCUGCUGUGAAGAAGAUGUAUGACAUUCAGACUAAGAAAAUCAAUACCUUGAUCAGGCCUGAUGGAACUAAG
This 466-nucleotide unclassified non-coding RNA is filed under the name Hevea brasiliensis (rubber tree). The record is from RNAcentral. Lineage: Eukaryota; Viridiplantae; Streptophyta; Magnoliopsida; Malpighiales; Euphorbiaceae.